UAACUGGGCGUAAAGGGCACGCAGGCGGCUAUUUAAGUGAGGUGUGAAAUCCCCGGGCUUAACCUGGGAAUUGCAUUUCAGACUGGGUAGCUAGAGUACUUUAGGGAGGGGUAGAAUUCCACGUGUAGCGGUGAAAUGCGUAGAGAUGUGGAGGAAUACCGAAGGCGAAGGCAGCCCCUUGGGAAUGUACUGACGCUCAUGUGCGAAAGCGUGGGGAGCAAACAGGAUUAGAUACCCUGGUAGUCCACGCUGUAAACGCUGUCGAUUUGGGGAUUGGGCCUUGAGCUUGGUGCCCGAAGCUAACGUGAUAAAUCGACCGCCUGGGGAGUACGGCCGCAAGGUUAAAACUCAAAUGAAUUGACGGGGGCCCGCACAAGCGGUGGAGCAUGUGGUUUAAUUCGAUGCAACGCGAAGAACCUUACCUACUCUUGACAUCCAUGGAAUCUUGUAGAGAUAUGAGAGUGCCUUCGGGAACCAUGAGACAGGUGCUGCAUGGCUGUCGUCAGCUCGUGUCGUGAG
Molecule: ribosomal RNA, 519 nt
Filed under: uncultured bacterium
Lineage: Bacteria
Description: bacterial SSU rRNA
Rfam family: Bacterial small subunit ribosomal RNA
Source: RNAcentral